This 71-nucleotide transfer RNA is filed under the name Marmota monax (woodchuck). RNAcentral describes it as "tRNA.Ala". The record is from RNAcentral. Lineage: Eukaryota; Metazoa; Chordata; Mammalia; Rodentia; Sciuridae.
GGUUGUGACUCAAGGGGUAGGGCACUUGCCUGGCAUGCAUGGGGUGCUGGGUUCGAUCCUCAGCAACAACA